This is a long non-coding RNA of Macadamia integrifolia, 1289 nucleotides long. RefSeq lists it as uncharacterized. The transcript is spliced from 3 exons. NCBI's taxonomy places the organism in Eukaryota, Viridiplantae, Streptophyta, Magnoliopsida, Proteales, Proteaceae. The record is from RefSeq and is a predicted model, not a curated record.
GAAGAAGAAGAAAGAAGAAGAAGAAGAGGAGGAGGAAGGAAGGAAGGGGGCUGGCUAAUCUCUAUUGUUGCUGGCUGCUACCUGACGCUGCUGCUGCUAGAGGUUACUGCUGCUCAGUUGUGCAUGCUGCCUGCUACUGCAUGCAGCCCUUGUUUGCUGCUACUGAUGAUGCUGCCAUAAUCCUGUAGCUACUACUGUUUAUUGCAUGCUGCUACCCUUAUUGUUUUGCUACAUGUAAGAUAAGGAGCUACUGUCCAAGAGUUCAGAUGUUGAUGUGGCUGCCUAAACCCAUGAACCUGAAACUUUUUUGGUGAGGACACACGAUUGAUUGUGGGGGAUCCUAUCGUAUUUUGUGAUUUGGGUUUCGAGGAUUUUGGGUGCAGGACAGUAUUAUGAAUAAUGGGUUUUGGAUCCCUAUAGCCAUUAUUCGCUCUUCCCCACUUUACCACUGAAGUGAGAGAACUAAGGAGGUCUAAAGGGUUGUAGAAGAUCCACUACCAAGAAGAGGGAAAAAGUGAAGAAUGACAUCGAUCAUCUACAACAUAUAAGGGUGAAAGGUACAAUUCCAUCCUCUAUGAUCUUAUCAAAUUAUUCACGUUUUUAAUUUAUAUCGUAUUCUAGUUGUCUGUAUGGGAAGCAAUUAGGAUCCGAUGUGAAACCCUAAAUUGAGAUCUAACAGUGUAUGCCACAGUCAUACUUGAAAAUGGGUGCACAAUGUGGUCGAUUAUUAUUCCGAUUCGUGUAUAUCUUACUAAGCCGUAUACAUGCUAGAUAGGUUUGGACAUGGAUGCGACGUGGCCGAUGGUGAUUUUGAUAUUGUAUUUUAUACUACUUGUAUCACUAUGAAAAUCAUAUAUAAUAUUAUGGUUGGGUUUAUAUUACCUAUGCUAUGAUCCCUUGCCAACAAGGGGUGAGAUGUUGGAUAACCCACCAUGGUAUGUUUGAUGAACCCUUCCAGAAUGUCACUUCCAAAUAUGAUGUGAUUGUUGUUGGAGGCGAAAAUCAGUCCAUUGUGGUCAAUGAUAAUUAUGGUGUCGUGACUGCCAGGAGGAGCUUGUCAGAGGUUUACUUGUGCGUAUGCUGCACCUUGAGUCAGGGGUGAAGCUGUUGAUUACCCCGAUGUCGUAUUUUUAGAUUAUAUCUUGUAGAAUUUAUGAUUUGAUGAAUUAUGUGAAGGAUAAAUCAUGUUAUGUAAUAUUCUUAGCAUUAAUUUCUUCCCCAACAGAUUUAAAUUGAUUCAACUUAUGUAUAUGCUCUAAUUUUCUCUACAUUGAUUUUGGUUGGUUCAA